Molecule: ribosomal RNA, 196 nt
Filed under: uncultured prokaryote
Description: partial 16S ribosomal RNA
Source: RNAcentral
GAAUCAGCGGUAUGGCUCUUCUCAUAUUGGCGCUACUGCAAAGGAUAUUUCUAAUGUCGUCACUGAUGCUGCUUCUGGUGUGGUUGAUAUUUUUCAUGGUAUUGAUAAAGCUGUUGCCGAUACUUGGAACAAUUUCUGGAAAGACGGUAAAGCUGAUGGUAUUGGCUCUAAUUUGUCUAGGAAAUAACCGUCAGGA